CCCUUAGAUGUUCUGGGCCGCACGCGCGCUACACUGACGAAUGCAACGAGCUUAUAACCUUGGCCGAAAGGUCUGGGUAAUCUCCAAAUUUCGUCGUGAUGGGGAUAGAUUAUUGCAAUUAUUAAUCUUCAACGAGGAAUGCCUAGUAAGCGCAAGUCAUCAGCUUGAGUUGAUUACGUCCCUGCCCUUUGUACACACCGCCCGUCGCUCCUACCGAUUGAAUGGUCCGGUGAAGCGUUCGGACCGUGGCCUUUGGACGGUUCGCCGUCUGUUGGCUGCGGGAAGUUCGUUAAACCUUAUCAUUUAGAGGAAGGAGAAGUCGUAACA
This 327-nucleotide ribosomal RNA is filed under the name uncultured eukaryote. Its description in RNAcentral is "partial 18S ribosomal RNA". It matches the Rfam family "Eukaryotic small subunit ribosomal RNA", at positions 1470 to 1796 of the family's 1831-position model. The record is from RNAcentral.